CAGCAGUAGCCGCGGUAAUACGUAGGGUGCAAGCGUUAAUCGGAAUUACUGGGCGUAAAGCGUGCGCAGGCGGUCCGCUAAGGCAGAUGUGAAAUCCCCGGGCUUAACCUGGGAACUGCAUUUGUGACUGGCGGGCUAGAGUAUGGCAGAGGGGGGUAGAAUUCCACGUGUAGCAGUGAAAUGCGUAGAGAUGUGGAGGAAUACCGGUGGCGAAGGCAGCCCCCUGGGCCAAUACUGACGCUCAUGCACGAAAGCGUGGGGAGCAAACAGGAUUAGAUACCCGCGUAGUCCCUGUCUCUUAUAA
This 304-nucleotide ribosomal RNA is filed under the name uncultured bacterium. RNAcentral's name for it is "partial 16S ribosomal RNA". It matches the Rfam family "Bacterial small subunit ribosomal RNA", at positions 506 to 809 of the family's 1533-position model. The record is from RNAcentral.